UGGGGAAUAUUGGACAAUGGGGGCAACCCUGAUCCAGCAAUGCCGCGUGUGUGAAGAAGGUCUUCGGAUUGUAAAGCACUUUCGACGGGGACGAUGAUGACGGUACCCGUAGAAGAAGCCCCGGCUAACUUCGUGCCAGCAGCCGCGGUAAUACGAAGGGGGCUAGCGUUGCUCGGAAUGACUGGGCGUAAAGGGCGUGUAGGCGGUUUACACAGUCAGAUGUGAAAUCCCCGGGCUUAACCUGGGAGCUGCAUUUGAUACG
This 262-nucleotide ribosomal RNA is filed under the name uncultured bacterium. RNAcentral describes it as "partial 16S ribosomal RNA". It matches the Rfam family "Bacterial small subunit ribosomal RNA", at positions 355 to 634 of the family's 1533-position model. The record is from RNAcentral.